GAUGAACGCUGGCGGCGUGCUUAACACAUGCAAGUCGAACGGUGAAAGAGAGCUUGCUCUCUGGAUCAGUGGCGAACGGGUGAGUAACACGUGAGCAAUCUGCCCCUGACUCUGGGAUAAGCGCUGGAAACGGCGUCUAAUACCGGAUACGAGCUGCGAAGGCAUCUUCAGCAGCUGGAAAGAACUUCGGUCAGGGAUGAGCUCGCGGCCUAUCAGCUAGUUGGUGAGGUAACGGCUCACCAAGGCGUCGACGGGUAGCCGGCCUGAGAGGGUGACCGGCCACACUGGGACUGAGACACGGCCCAGACUCCUACGGGAGGCAGCAGUGGGGAAUAUUGCACAAUAGGCGAAAGCCUGAUGCAGCAACGCCGCGUGAGGGACGACGGCCUUCGGGUUGUAAACCUCUUUUAGCAGGGAAGAAGCGAAAGUGACGGUACCUGCAGAAAAAGCGCCGGCUAACUACGUG
This 466-nucleotide ribosomal RNA is filed under the name uncultured bacterium. RNAcentral's name for it is "partial 16S ribosomal RNA". It matches the Rfam family "Bacterial small subunit ribosomal RNA", at positions 28 to 507 of the family's 1533-position model. The record is from RNAcentral.